Sorex araneus (European shrew) is the source of this 186-nucleotide small nucleolar RNA. The record is from Ensembl. NCBI's taxonomy places the organism in Eukaryota, Metazoa, Chordata, Mammalia, Eulipotyphla, Soricidae.
GCUGUGUUGUGUGCAUAGUUUUUGUCUGUGUCAUGUAGCAGUGUCUAUCUGUGUUCUGCAUUCAGACCCCGCUACUCACACAAACAUCAAGCCGUCGGAGAAUAAACUUGGGAUCAGAGUACUGGCCAAGUGUGUGUCUCUUGGGACAUGUCUCCCACGGGCCAGCCUCCAUAUUCCCAUACACUG